RNAcentral lists this ribosomal RNA (253 nucleotides) under uncultured bacterium. RNAcentral's name for it is "partial 16S ribosomal RNA". It matches the Rfam family "Bacterial small subunit ribosomal RNA", at positions 524 to 776 of the family's 1533-position model. The record is from RNAcentral.
UACAGAGGGUGCGAGCGUUAAUCGGAAUUACUGGGCGUAAAGGGCGCGUAGGCGGUUUAUCAAGUGAGAUGUGAAAUCCCCGGGCUUAACCUGGGAACUGCAUCUUAAACUGAUAGGCUGGAGUACUGUAGAGGAUAGUGGAAUUUCCGGUGUAGCGGUGAAAUGCGUAGAGAUCGGAAGGAACAUCAGUGGCGAAGGCGACUGUCUGGACAGAUACUGACGCUGAGGCGCGAAAGCGUGGGGAGCGAACAGG